Long non-coding RNA from Cyprinus carpio (common carp), 2888 nucleotides. The record is from Ensembl. Lineage: Eukaryota; Metazoa; Chordata; Actinopteri; Cypriniformes; Cyprinidae.
ACUCCACAUGUGUACCUGGUGACCCCUUGUGCAUCAGGUGGAUUUUAACAUAUCACUGCAGCUGAAACUCUGGAAGUGCACUGCACAUGACGGCACCAAACCAACCUCACCUUCCUGUAAUGCUGGAGUGUAAGACUCAAAAACUAACACUGUGAUACUGCAAAUGUUACCAUGUAAAAAGUUUUCAAACUAGACUGUUGAAAAUAAUACUAGUGCGAUACUUUGUAGAUUUUCUACAAAUGAAGUAACACACAGUACCUCAAUAUAAGCCUUCUUACCCAGUUACACACAAAUACACUCAUGCUGACCACCAUGACGUACCGCAUGCCAAACUUCACUCUGGAGCAGAAGCUUUUCCUGCUUCGGAGAAUCCAUGCGGUGGUGGACACAGUGCAGGACUUUCGGAAAGACACCAACACUACUGUGCACCGGAACGCUGUAUGGGCAGAGCUGGCCCAGGCCUUCAAUGCGGCGUUCCCUAGUCGACCCCCCAGCAGCAUCGGCUCUCUGAAGACGCUGUGGAAACGGCUGAAGGUGGAAUGUCGUGUUGCGCUGCAGAAGCGACAGGAACAGCAGGCAGCUGGGCUUCCUGUGUCUGCCCUCACGCAGGUGCAGAGAGAAGUGAUUGCCCUGGUACCGAACCUCAUCUCCUGUCUGGAGGAGGUAGAUGGAGAUGGCAGCUAUGCCUCGGUUAGGGGUAGCUCACCUGGAGCAGUGAUGGGGCUUUCAGGCACUAAUGGGAGUGAGCAUGAAGAUGCUGACCACAGUCAAAAUGAUGAAGUAGACAGCAAGGAGAACUUAGCCAUUGAACUUGGAUUGGUUUCACCGACUCACCCACCUGUUAACUCUGGGAUUCCUCCUGGCACUGCCUCCUCUCCUCUCCACUCACAUUCAGUCUCUUCCAGGUCCAGCCGUCCCUCUCUCAUCUACCCAACCCAUGCAGGAAGCACCUCAGGGCUGGGAUCAGGGACUAGGGGUUCAAACUUCGAUACCCCACACAGAGAGCCUGUGGUGCCACGUGCUCCUGCCGGAGGAGCAGUUGAGAAUUCAUUACCGCCAAUGGACUCUUAUACCUCAAACUCGAAAUGGGAGGCACGUCGACAGGAACUGUUUGAGCUGGAGCAUCAGCAGACGAUGAGUCUGUUACUGCUGCAGCAGUGUGUGUGGGAGGAGAAGAGGAAAGCAGUGAGACAAAAGGAGAAGGCGGCGCGGGCCAAGAAGAGAUAUUAUCAAGCCAAACUACGGAAGAUCACCACAGAUCCUUCACCUUCCAGUAGUGACAGCGAGGAUAACGAAUAUCUACAGACUUGAACUCAGAUGUUUAUGGCAUCUUAGCUAUGUUUGCUUUCUUUUUUUGAAAGUCAUUUUUUAUUCUAGCAAUGCUGUUUAUUUACAAAACAGUAUAUUUUUUAUUGUGGACUAAACUUAAUUGGUGUUUAGGAAUGUACCAUGUGUAUCAUAUGGAGGGGGGAAUUUACUUGUGCAGGCUUUGUUCCAGUAGCCAAUACAAAUCUGAUUUCCUUUCAUAAUCUCUCUCAUCAACACUGAUGCUGCAUUCCAUUCAGUCAAAAGUGGGAUAGUUAAAGGGAUAAUUCACCUGAAAAUUGAAAUUCAUAAUUUACUCAACGUCAUAUUGCUCCAAACUGUGUGACUUACUUUCUUCUGUGCAACACAAAGUUUUUUUUUUUUUUUAAUGCCUCCAUACAAUAGAAGUAAAUGGGUCAUGUGUUGAAAACAGUUGAAAUAUUUCUCAAAAUGUCUUCUAUGUUCUGCUGAAGGAAGUAAGUCAUACAUGUUUGGAGAGACAUGAGGAGAAGUAAACGACAACAGCAUUUUCUAUUUUUUUGGAUGAACUAUCCCUUUAAAGGUGCUCCAUAGUCCGACAGACUUAGAUUAUGACAUGAAUCAAAUCAUAAUGCUAAUGUUAGCAUUGCAAUUGUCAACAAAGAAGCCUUUUAGCAUCCAAUUUUGCUAGCAUUUGUUUUACAAGAGUAAAAUUGUCAACAUAAAAGCUCAUUUACCAUUUUUUACAAGCCUGUGAGGUUUUAUUAUAAUUUAAAUGUAAUACUUUGACCUGUUAAUUAAUUUAAUUGGCUUAUAAGAGUGAAUGUUUAUCAUGCACUGUGUCUCUCUGGGUCUCGUGUUUAAGUGAUAUCAUAUAACAAAAACAACUGAAAAUCUUAUGUUUGGGAAGUUUUCCAAAAGCGAGACUGGAAAUUGGAGUGCAAUAGUCAAACAUGUCCAUCUAGUGCAUGUUAAAAAUGGAAAAACAGCACAGUGGAAUGCAAAAAUGCGUUUUUUGUGAAAAUCUCAAAACCCUCGCACAUUCAGGCCAGAACUGAGCAGUGAGGAGAUGUUUAGUCCUGAUACUUGUGUUAGAUGAGAAGAAGAAAUGAACUGAAAUGAGAUUUCUAAUGUUACUGUAUUUUAAUUUAAUGCUUGUGGAUCAAACCAAGGAUUGAAGUUCUCCAAGGCCCCUGUUUGAUGCUAUAUGCAUUACAUUACAAACAUUAAAAAUUACUGUGGUAAGAAAGUACACUGCAAAUAUGAGGUAAGAAAACAUACAGAAGAUACAACAUUACAACAUCCAUGUGUGGAAAUAUUUCAGGGGUUAUUGCCAGUCCAUAAUCUAUCCUUGGAUACAACUCAUCUGACUGUUUUAGGACAGCGUCUUUAGGAGCAACCUUUAGAUUUAGUUCACUGUAGCUCAUUUAUACUAUGCAGGUUUUUUCAGGUAAAUAAGUGCUUCUCUUAAAGUGACGAGUGCUUGAAGUUAGUUCAGUGUUGUUGAUUUACUUGUCUUAGUAUACAGUGUUUGGGAACAGAGCACUUUGUUCUUUUGCAAAAUAUGAAAAUCUUAAAGGAAUAAAAUGGAUAUUCUGUCAUCA